RNAcentral lists this ribosomal RNA (427 nucleotides) under uncultured Parachlamydia sp. RNAcentral's name for it is "bacterial SSU rRNA". It matches the Rfam family "Bacterial small subunit ribosomal RNA", at positions 355 to 774 of the family's 1533-position model. Lineage: Bacteria; Pseudomonadati; Chlamydiota; Chlamydiia; Parachlamydiales; Parachlamydiaceae. The record is from RNAcentral.
UCGAGAAUCUUUCGCAAUGGGCGAAAGCCUGACGAAGCGACGCCGUGUGUGUGAUGAAGUCCUUCGGGUUGUAAAGCACUUUCGCCUGGGAACAAGAAACCUUGGCUAACAUCCAGGGGAUUUGAGAGUAUCAGGUAAAGAAGCACCGGCUAACUACGUGCCAGCAGCUGCGGUAAUACGUAGGGUGCAAGCAUUAAUCGGAUUUAUUGGGCGUAAAGGGCGCGUAGGCGGGAAUAUAAGUCAGAUGUGAAAUCCCGGAGCUCAACUCCGGAACAGCAUUUGAAACUGCAUUUCUAGAGGGUAGGCGGAGAAAACGGAAUUCCACAAGUAGCGGUGAAAUGCGUAGAUAUGUGGAAGAACACCAGUGGCGAAGGCGGUUUUCUAGCUUAUACCUGACGCUGAGGCGCGAAAGCAAGGGGAGCAAACA